RNAcentral lists this ribosomal RNA (204 nucleotides) under uncultured bacterium. RNAcentral describes it as "partial 16S ribosomal RNA". It matches the Rfam family "Archaeal small subunit ribosomal RNA", at positions 745 to 948 of the family's 1478-position model. The record is from RNAcentral.
UCCCAGCUGUAAACGAUGCGGGCUAGGUGUCGGUGUGGCUACGAGCCACUCCGGUGCCGCAGGGAAGCUCUUAAGCCCGCCGCCUGGGAAGUACGGUCGCAAGGCUGAAACUUAAAGGAAUUGGCGGGGGAGCACCACCAGGGGUGAAGCUUGCGGUUCAAUUGGAGUCAACGCCGGGAACCUUACCGGGGGCGACAGCAGGUU